GACGAACGCUGGCGGCGUGCUUAACACAUGCAAGUCGAACGAUGAAGCUGGAGCUUGCUCCGGUGGAUUAGUGGCGAACGGGUGAGUAACACGUGAGAAAUCUGCCCUUCACUCUGGGAUAACUGCGGGAAACUGUAGCUAAUACCGGAUACUUUCCCUGGUCGGCAUCCACUUGGGAAGAAAGAAUUUCGGUGAAGGAUGAUCUCGCGGCCUAUCCGCUAGUUGGUGAGGUAAUGGCUCACCAAGGCGAGGACGGGUAGCCGGCCUGAGAGGGUGACCGGCCACACUGGGACUGAGACACGGCCCAGACUCCUACGGGAGGCAGCAGUGGGGAAGAUUGAACAAUGGGCGAAAGCCUGAUGCAGCAACGCCGCGUGAGGGAUGAAGGCCUUCGGGUUGUAAACCUCUUUUAGCAGGGAAGAAGCGAAAGUGACGGUACCUGCAGAAAAAGCACCGGCUAACUACGUGCCAGCCGCCGCCGUAA
Molecule: ribosomal RNA, 484 nt
Filed under: uncultured bacterium
Lineage: Bacteria
Description: partial 16S ribosomal RNA
Rfam family: Bacterial small subunit ribosomal RNA
Source: RNAcentral